UGAUGAAAGGAAAGAAAGAGUCAGCUUUAAACCAGACAACAGAGGCCACUCCCAGAGUACUAUCUCAGAUUUGCAAAUCUCAGCAUAAAAAGAAACCGCAGUAUGGUAAAAAGCUCAGGCAACCAUCGGGCAGACUUCAGGAAGUUUUGAUAUCAGGCGAAGAUCGGAGCAAAAGAUUCAAUCCACUGCAUGUGUAUAAUGUCUAUGUUCUAGGUGAGCUCCAGUUCUGAAGUUCAGCAAUGAAAGGAAACCCUUGUACAUAGGAGCAUACGGCACAUGACAAGAGGAUGCUUACGAUCUCCCCAUCUAAACAACCAUCACAGUCCUCGCCACCUUUCAUAGAUAGCCUAACUGAUGGUCGAACCUAAAGUGGACAACCAAAGUUUUCAUCAAUUGAAACCCAUGUCUGUUAUUAUGGAUGAACUUCACUGAGAGCUGCCCCAUAGUAAAACCACCAAUCCAUUAGCGCAAAUGACUGAAAUUAUGAAAUACCCCAAAAGAUAAUCGUACACAUGUAACAGAAGUAAUUUUUGAACUUCAUGCCAUUAAUGAGCUUUCCCGUGAAUGCAUUGAGUCACAGAUCCACUUGUAUAUGGAAUUUCUAAAGCAUAGUUACAGAUCCUCUGAUAUUUGAUUUCUUAGACAUAUCAAGUGGGAAUCAUGAGACCCUCAGUUUUGAGCUUGCCUUAGAAAUUGCAAACUGGGAUGGCCGAGUAUUAACUCCAAACCGACCCCUGCGAACUGGACCCAUCAUUUUUCCAGCAUUGAAUGGCCUAUCAGAACCUCUUCCACGUCGAGCAUUAACUCGACCUCUGCCUUUCCCUCUACUGCUCUUAAUAAUAUCAUCAAGAGACAUAUCAACAGAGGUGGCCAUUGAGUUCGACUGUUAUCUAUCGACAGAUACAGCACGCCCU
This 914-nucleotide long non-coding RNA is filed under the name Linum usitatissimum (flax). RNAcentral's name for it is "long non-coding RNA (LUSI_LNC004390)". The record is from RNAcentral. Lineage: Eukaryota; Viridiplantae; Streptophyta; Magnoliopsida; Malpighiales; Linaceae.